GUCCUCUUGCCUUUUCCUAGUCUGGAUUCUAGUUACCCGCUGGUUAUUGCCCUGGAGCUCAACAUUCACCUCAUUCUCACCUCAUCCCCCUCCGAACCGGGGCAGAGGGACGUUGUGGUGAAUGCAGAGCCCGUCGCCGGGUGUGGGAAACGCACUACUACGAGGUCCACGCUCACGUCGUCUCACAGAGACGUCUCACUCAUCACACUCCGGGAUCCCAUCCCCGACCGAGGGGGCCCCGCUGCCUCCGAACGGGGCAACCUCAGUAGCCCCGAAGGACCGCUGAAAGGGCACACUCAAUUUGCUGCCUCGUGGAAUAACAAUAAUAUUGUUUUGCACACAUUCCCC
Vidua chalybeata is the source of this 348-nucleotide long non-coding RNA. RefSeq lists it as uncharacterized. NCBI's taxonomy places the organism in Eukaryota, Metazoa, Chordata, Aves, Passeriformes, Viduidae. The record is from RefSeq and is a predicted model, not a curated record. The transcript has 3 exons.